CACGUAGGGCGCAAGCGUUGUCCGGAAUUAUUGGGCGUAAAGAGCUCGUAGGUGGUUUGUUACGUCUGCUGUGAAAACCUAGGGCUUAACCCUGGGCUUGCAGUGGAUACGGGCAGACUAGAGGUAGGUAGGGGAGAAUGGAAUUCCUGGUGUAGCGGUGAAAUGCGCAGAUAUCAGGAGGAACACCGGUGGCGAAGGCGGUUCUCUGGGCCUUACCUGACACUGAGGAGCGAUAGCGUGGGGAGCGAACCGG
Molecule: ribosomal RNA, 253 nt
Filed under: uncultured bacterium
Lineage: Bacteria
Description: partial 16S ribosomal RNA
Rfam family: Bacterial small subunit ribosomal RNA
Source: RNAcentral